RNAcentral lists this ribosomal RNA (1207 nucleotides) under metagenome. RNAcentral describes it as "bacterial LSU rRNA". It matches the Rfam family "Bacterial large subunit ribosomal RNA", at positions 1602 to 2818 of the family's 2925-position model. The record is from RNAcentral.
AUACUUCCAAGAAAAGCUUGCACUGUCAUAAACAAAGAAUGCCUGUACCAUAACCGACACAGGUGGGUAAGUAGAGUAUACUAAGGGGCGCGAGAUAACUCUCUCUAAGGAACUCGGCAAAAUAACUCCAUAACUUCGGGAGAAGGAGUGCCUUAUUCUUAAGGUUGCAAUAACAAGAUCCAAGCAACUGUUUAUCAAAAACACAGGUCUCCGCUAAGUCGUAAGACGAUGUAUGGGGGCUGACGCCUGCCCAGUGCCAGAAGGUUAAAGAAGUCGGUUAGCAAUUGCGAAGCUGGUAACUGAAGCCCUGGUGAACGGCGGCCGUAACAAUAACGGUCCUAAGGUAGCGAAAUUCCUUGUCGGGUAAGUUCCGACCCGCACGAAAGGCGUAAUGAUUUGGAUGCUGUCUCGGAGAGAGGCUCGGUGAAAUAGACUUGUCUGUGAAGAUGCGGACUACCUGCACCAGGACAGAAAGACCCUAUGAAGCUUUACUGUAACUUGAAAUUGAAAUUGGACUUUACUCGCGCAGUAUAGGUGGGAGGCGUUGAUUAUAAUCUCGUGGGAUUAUUGGAGCCAUCAGUGAGAUACCACUCUUGUAAUGUUAGAUUUCUAACUUUGAAUCAUUAUCUGGUCAAAGGACAGUUUCAGGCGGGCAGUUUGACUGGGGCGGUCGCCUCCUAAACGGUAACGGAGGCGUACAAAGGUUUCCUCUGAACGGUUAGAAAUCGUAUCUAGAGUGUAAAGGCAUAAGGAAGCUUGACUGUGAGACCUACAAGUCGAGCAGGGACGAAAGUCGGUCUUAGUGAUCUGACGGUACUGAGUGGAAAGGCCGUCACUCAACGGAUAAAAGUUACUCUAAGGAUAACAGGCUGAUCUCCCCCAAGAGUUCACAUCGACGGGGAGGUUUGGCACCUUGAUGUUGGCUCAUCGCAUCCUGGGGCGGUAGUACGUCCCAAGGGUUGGGCUGUUCGCCCAUGAAAGCGGUACGCGAGCUGGGUUCAGAACGUCGUGAGACAGUUCGGUCCAUAUCCGGUGUAGGCGCUAGAAUAUUGAGAGGAGCCUUCUUUAGUACGAGAGGACCGAGAAGGACAUACCUCUGGUGUACCAGUUAUCGUGCCAACGGUAAACGCUGGGUAGCUAUGUAUGGAGUGGAUAACCGCUGAAAGCAUCUAAGUGGGAAGCCCACCUCAAGAUAAGUAUUCUCAUC